CUGGCUUCCACAAUUUUCCUCAAAUCUCCAUUUCUCAGUUGUCCUUAUGAUCAAGUGUUUCGGAGAAAAAAUGUGCAUGGAUAGGUCUGCUAGGAAAGGUACAUUUCUGCAGUCAGCACAGCUGAUAAAUUCUGCCUUCGCCUGAUUUGUGUCUCCUCAUUCCCAGAGGGCAUCUCUGGACAGCACCCCCACAAAGGGCAUUAGGGUUGGUUGCUGGGAGCCUGUCAUUGCAUUGAAAGUCACAGAGGGUCAAAUGUGACCCGUGCGUUGUGACAGCUGAGGGUAAUUGCUCAGAAAGCAUGUGUUUCCCUAGCUACAAGAAAUGGAGCAAAACAGUCGGCGCUGGCUGUAGACCUGGUGGUUGCCAGACAGUGGGAUUUUCCUCAUAGAAUCUUUGCAGUUGGAAGGAACCCUUAAAGGCCAUCUGGUCCCACUCCCCUGCAACACCCACAGCUCCUUCAGGUGCUCAGAGACCCUUCCGGCCUGGCCUUGAAUGUCUCCAAGGAUGGGGUUCUACACAUCUCUGGGCACCUCUUGCUGAGGAUCUGCUGGCAAUGAGGUGCCUAGCCGUGCAGCAAAGGUUCUUCCAUGUCAAGUCUGCUUGGAAAGACAAAUCCCAGGCUGUGCCCUACAUGGGACACUUGGUGUUUUCUGUAUGGUUCACCUGAAGUGCUCGGUGAGAAUGCCAGCACGUUUCUCUGUAGGUGAAUCGCCAUGGCUCAGCAUCCACCUGCACAUCUCUGCCUUUCCAGGUCUGUCUGAUUCGUUCCUACGGGGUUUCAAGGAGGCAGGGCAACUUGACAGCACCUUCCUCACCAUGCAGGUGGAAGGCUUCCGUCAGAAAGGGACACAUUUGCAUAGAGACAGAGCUAACAAAGGGCUGGGCAGGGUGUGGCCGAGCAGUUCUAUCGCCACCUGUCAUGCAGCUCUGCAGCACGGCGUUGGAUCAGCCUGCAGCCACGGCUCCGUAUGUGAGAAGAGGCUCAGCACUGUUGCUUUCUUCUGUGAAUUGCUCAUCAAUGCAGGAGGUAUAUUGUGCUUCGAGGCUGGGGAAAUGCUGUGCUGAAAACUGCAUUUGAACCUUGGGGACAGCAAAGAAAUCCAAUAUCUCCAUCUGUUUGAAAUGCUUGCAAUCGAAAAUACAAAAAGAAGGAGCCACAGG
RNAcentral lists this long non-coding RNA (1162 nucleotides) under Gallus gallus (chicken). Its description in RNAcentral is "long non-coding RNA NONGGAT007902". Lineage: Eukaryota; Metazoa; Chordata; Aves; Galliformes; Phasianidae. The record is from RNAcentral.